RNAcentral lists this small RNA (1112 nucleotides) under Pongo abelii (Sumatran orangutan). RNAcentral's name for it is "retained intron". Lineage: Eukaryota; Metazoa; Chordata; Mammalia; Primates; Hominidae. The record is from RNAcentral.
CAGCUUGGGUUUGUCACCUGCCUUGUGUUCCUUAACCCUUGUUUCUUGGGCCUUGUCCUCCCUUUUCAUCUGGGCUGCCCUCCCCUGGUUCUGGCAGGUUCUGGGGUGUUUCACCUGUUUUUUUUCUAGGAGCACCCCUGGCCUGCUUCCCGUCUGCCUGCUCGGAUGCUGCUGCUGGCUUCCUGCUGUUUUGAGGCCUCUGGUGCUGGAAGAACAGGAAGAAGCCAGCUCCCCACACCUGUGUCCUCUUCCUUCCCCAGGAGAUGUGGGUUCCUUUGUGCUGAAGUUAGUGGAGGGCCUUCAGGGCCAGACAUGGGCCCCAGACUGGGUGGAGGAGCUGCGGGAAGCCGACCGGCAGAAGGAGCAGACCUUUCGGGAGAAGGCAGCGAUGCCUGUGGCUCAGCACCUGAACCCGGUGCGGGUGCUGCAGCUGGUGGAGGAAACGCUACCUGACAACUCAAUUCUGGUGGUGGAUGGCGGGGACUUCGUGGGCACUGCCGCCCAUCUGGUACAGCCCCGCGGCCCCCUGCGCUGGCUCGAUCCUGGUAAGGAAGGGCCCCCGCCUGGGGCAGUGGGCACCAUCCAUCCGGACGCCUUCACACCCACCUGCUCUUGGUCCUCUUAGGGGCCUUUGGGACUCUGGGAGUUGGUGCAGGAUUUGCACUUGGGGCCAAGCUGUGCCGGCCAGAUGCUGAGGUGAGGCACUGGAGUUGGGAGACUUGCUGCUCUCUAGGCCCUGAUCCACCCUAACCAUCCUGGGUCCCCUCCCCACUAGGUCUGGUGCCUGUUUGGGGAUGGAGCUUUUGGCUACAGCCUCAUCGAAUUUGAUACGUUCGUCAGACACAAGAUCCCAGUGAUGGCCUUGGUAGGGAAUGAUGCUGGCUGGACACAGAUUUCUCGGGAGCAGGUGCCCUCUCUGGGCAGCAACGUGGCCUGUGGCCUGGCCUACACUGAUUAUCACAAGGCAGCCAUGGGUCUGGGGGCCCGGGGCUUGCUGCUCUCACGAGAGAACGAGGAUCAGGUGGUCAAGGUGCUGCACGAUGCCCAGCAGCAGUGCCGAGACGGCCACCCGGUUGUGGUCAACAUCCUCAUUGGGAGGACGGACUUCCGCG